ACGAACGCUGGCGGCGUGCUUAACACAUGCAAGUCGAGCGGUAAGGCCCUUUCGGGGGUACACGAGCGGCGAACGGGUGAGUAACACGUGGGUGACCUGCCCUCAGCUCUGGGAUAAGCCUGGGAAACCGGGUCUAAUACCGGACAUGACUCCAUGACGCAUGUUGUGGGGUGGAAAGCCUUGUGCGGCUGAGGAUGGGCCCGCGGCCUAUCAGCUUGUUGGUGGGGUGANGGCCUACCAAGGCGACGACGGGUAGCCGGCCUGAGAGGGCGACCGGCCACACUGGGACUGAGACACGGCCCAGACUCCUACGGGAGGCAGCAGUGGGGAAUCUUGCGCAAUGGGCGAAAGCCUGACGCAGCGACGCCGCGUGAGGGAUGACGGCCUGG
This 389-nucleotide ribosomal RNA is filed under the name uncultured bacterium. RNAcentral's name for it is "bacterial SSU rRNA". It matches the Rfam family "Bacterial small subunit ribosomal RNA", at positions 29 to 419 of the family's 1533-position model. The record is from RNAcentral.